UUGACAUAGACUAUUAAGAGUUCAUACAUCUCCCCAGGCUCUGUCCAGGUGGCGUAGGGGAGCAUAGGGCUCUGCCCCCAUGAUGUACAGUCCCUUUCCACAACGUUGGAGAGAAAGCCGGGCCUUGAGUCGGCGCCUGCAUAUUCCUACAGCUUCUCAGAGUCCUGUGGACGAUGACUGGGGAGACAAACCAUGCAGGAAACAUCU
This is a small nucleolar RNA of Myotis lucifugus (little brown bat), 207 nucleotides long. Its record names the gene SNORA73. It matches the Rfam family "Small nucleolar RNA SNORA73 family". From Rfam's summary of the family: U17 (SNORA73A and SNORA73B) also known as E1 belongs to the H/ACA class of small nucleolar RNAs (snoRNAs). The record is from Ensembl. Lineage: Eukaryota; Metazoa; Chordata; Mammalia; Chiroptera; Vespertilionidae.